Molecule: ribosomal RNA, 455 nt
Filed under: uncultured bacterium
Lineage: Bacteria
Description: bacterial SSU rRNA
Rfam family: Bacterial small subunit ribosomal RNA
Source: RNAcentral
UAGGGAGGCAGCAGUGGGGAAUAUUGCACAAUGGGCGAAAGCCUGAUGCAGCUAUGCCGCGUGUAUGAAGAAGGCCUUAGGGUUGUAAAGUACUUUCAUCGGGGAGGAAAAAACAAAACUAAUAAUUUUAUUUCUUGACGUUACCCGAAAAAGAAGCACCGGCUAACUCCGUGCCAGCAGCCGCGGUAAUACGGAGGGUGCUAGCGUUAAUCAGAAUUACUGGGCGUAAAGAGCACGUAGGUGGUUUUUUUAAAGUCAGAUGUGAAAUCCCUGGGCUUAACCUGGAACUGCAUUUUGAAACUGAAAUACUAGAGUAUCGUAGAGGGAGGUAGAAUUCUAGGUGUAGCGGUGAAAUGCGUAGAUAUCUGGAGGAAUACCUGUGGCGAAAGCGGCCUCCUAAACGAAUACUGACACUGAGGUGCGAAAGCGUGGGGAGCAAACAGGGAUUAGAUACC